UACGGAGGGUGCAAGCGUUAAUCGGAAUUACUGGGCGUAAAGCGCGCGUAGGUGGUUUGGCAAGUCGGGUGUGAAAGCCCUGAGCUUAACUUAGGAAUUGCAUUCGAUACUGCCUGGCUAGAGUAUGGUAGAGGGAAGCGGAAUUCCGCAUGUAGCGGUGAAAUGCGUAGAUAUGCGGAGGAACACCGGUGGCGAAGGCGGCUUCCUGGACUAAUACUGACACUGAGGUGCGAAAGCGUGGGGAGCAAACAGG
This 253-nucleotide ribosomal RNA is filed under the name uncultured bacterium. RNAcentral describes it as "partial 16S ribosomal RNA". It matches the Rfam family "Bacterial small subunit ribosomal RNA", at positions 524 to 776 of the family's 1533-position model. The record is from RNAcentral.